This 446-nucleotide ribosomal RNA is filed under the name uncultured bacterium. Its description in RNAcentral is "partial 16S ribosomal RNA". It matches the Rfam family "Bacterial small subunit ribosomal RNA", at positions 338 to 795 of the family's 1533-position model. The record is from RNAcentral.
CCUACGGGAGACAGCAGUCGAGAAUCAUUCACAAUGGGGGAAACCCUGAUGGUGCGACGCCGCGUGGGGGAAUGAAGGUCUUCGGAUUGUAAACCCCUGUCAUGUGGGAGCAAAUUAAAAAGAUAGUACCACACGAGGAAGAGACGGCUAACUCUGUGCCAGCAGCCGCGGUAAUACAGAGGUCUCAAGCGUUGUUCGGAAUCACUGGGCGUAAAGCGUGCGUAGGCUGUUUCGUAAGUCGUGUGUGAAAGGCGCGGGCUCAACCCGCGGACGGCACAUGAUACUGCGAGACUAGAGUAAUGGAGGGGGAACCGGAAUUCUCGGUGUAGCAGUGAAAUGCGUAGAUAUCGAGAGGAACACUCGUGGCGAAGGCGGGUUCCUGGACAUUAACUGACGCUGAGGCACGAAGGCCAGGGGAGCGAAAGGGAUUAGAUACCCCUGUAGUC